UACAGAGGUCCCAAGCGUUGCUCGGAUUCACUGGGCGUAAAGGGUGCGUAGGUGGUGAGGUAAGUCGGAUGUGAAAGCUCGGAGCUCAACUCCGAAAUGGCAUUGGAAACUACCUUGCUCGAGGGUUGGAGGGGGACUGGAAUACUUGGUGUAGCAGUGAAAUGCGUAGAUAUCAAGUGGAACACCAGUGGCGAAGGCGAGUCCCUGGACAACUCCUGACACUGAGGCACGAAAGCUAGGGGAGCAAACAGG
RNAcentral lists this ribosomal RNA (252 nucleotides) under uncultured bacterium. RNAcentral describes it as "partial 16S ribosomal RNA". It matches the Rfam family "Bacterial small subunit ribosomal RNA", at positions 524 to 776 of the family's 1533-position model. The record is from RNAcentral.